AGUGAACGCUGGCGGUAGGCCUAACACAUGCAAGUCGAACGGCAGCACAGUAAGAGCUUGCUCUUACGGGUGGCGAGUGGCGGACGGGUGAGGAAUACAUCGGAAUCUGCUUUUUCGUGGGGGAUAACGUAGGGAAACUUACGCUAAUACCGCAUACGACCUACGGGUGAAAGCAGGGGAUCUUCGGACCUUGCGCGAUUGAAUGAGCCGAUGUCGGAUUAGCUAGUUGGCGGGGUAAAGGCCCACCAAGGCGACGAUCCGUAGCUGGUCUGAGAGGAUGAUCAGCCACACUGGAACUGAGACACGGUCCAGACUCCUACGGGAGGCAGCAGUGGGGAAUAUUGGACAAUGGGCGCAAGCCUGAUCCAGCCAUACCGCGUGGGUGAAGAAGGCCUUCGGGUUGUAAAGCCCUUUUGUUGGGAAAGAAAAGCAGCAGGUUAAUACCCCGCUGUUCUGACGGUACCCAAAGAAUAAGCACCGGCUAACUUCGU
This 491-nucleotide ribosomal RNA is filed under the name uncultured bacterium. RNAcentral's name for it is "partial 16S ribosomal RNA". It matches the Rfam family "Bacterial small subunit ribosomal RNA", at positions 29 to 506 of the family's 1533-position model. The record is from RNAcentral.